Molecule: transfer RNA, 87 nt
Filed under: Gammaproteobacteria bacterium
Lineage: Bacteria; Pseudomonadati; Pseudomonadota; Gammaproteobacteria
Also listed under: 4 other names
Description: tRNA-Leu
Rfam family: tRNA
About the family: Transfer RNA (tRNA) molecules are approximately 80 nucleotides in length. Their secondary structure includes four short double-helical elements and three loops (D, anti-codon, and T loops). Further hydrogen bonds mediate the characteristic L-shaped molecular structure. tRNAs have two regions of fundamental functional importance: the anti-codon, which is responsible for specific mRNA codon recognition, and the 3' end, to which the tRNAs corresponding amino acid is attached (by aminoacyl-tRNA synthetases). tRNAs cope with the degeneracy of the genetic code in two manners: having more than one tRNA (with a specific anti-codon) for a particular amino acid; and 'wobble' base-pairing, i.e. permitting non-standard base-pairing at the 3rd anti-codon position.
Source: RNAcentral
GCCGGUGUGAUGGAAUUGGUAGACAUACCGGACUUAAAAUCCGGAGAGGGAAACCUCGUGCCAGUUCGAGUCUGGCCACCGGCACCA